GCGAGAGUGGCGGAACGGUAGACGCAGUCGACUCAAAAUCGACCGUCCCAAAAGGACGUGGGGGUUCAAAUCCCCCCUUUCGCA
RNAcentral lists this transfer RNA (84 nucleotides) under Lasius niger. It matches the Rfam family "tRNA". From Rfam's summary of the family: Transfer RNA (tRNA) molecules are approximately 80 nucleotides in length. Their secondary structure includes four short double-helical elements and three loops (D, anti-codon, and T loops). The record is from Rfam by way of RNAcentral. Lineage: Eukaryota; Metazoa; Arthropoda; Insecta; Hymenoptera; Formicidae. RNAcentral also lists the same sequence under 1 other name.